AGAGUUUGAUCAUGGCUCAGAUUGAACGCUGGCGGCAGGCCUAACACAUGCAAGUCGAGCGGUAGCACAGGAGAGCUUGCUCUCUGGGUGACGAGCGGCGGACGGGUGAGUAAUGUCUGGGAAACUGCCUGAUGGAGGGGGAUAACUACUGGAAACGGUAGCUAAUACCGCAUAACGUCUACGGACCAAAGUGGGGGACCUUCGGGCCUCACGCCAUCAGAUGUGCCCAGAUGGGAUUAGCUAGUAGGUGGGGUAAUGGCUCACCUAGGCGACGAUCCCUAGCUGGUCUGAGAGGAUGACCAGCCACACUGGAACUGAGACACGGUCCAGACUCCUACGGGAGGCAGCAGUGGGGAAUAUUGCACAAUGGGCGCAAGCCUGAUGCAGCCAUGCCGCGUGUGUGAAGAAGGCCUUAGGGUUGUAAAGCACUUUCAGCGAGGAGGAAGGGCAGUGUGUUAAUAGCACAUUGCAUUGACGUUACUCGCAGAAGAAGCACCGGCUAACUCCGUGCCAGCAGCCGCGGUAAUACGGAGGGUGCAAGCGUUAAUCGGAAUUACUGGGCGUAAAGCGCACGCAGGCGGUUUGUUAAGUCAGAUGUGAAAUCCCCGCGCUUAACGUGGGAACUGCAUUUGAAACUGGCAAGCUAGAGUCUUGUAGAGGGGGGUAGAAUUCCAGGUGUAGCGGUGAAAUGCGUAGAGAUCUGGAGGAAUACCGGUGGCGAAGGCGGCCCCCUGGACAAAGACUGACGCUCAGGUGCGAAAGCGUGGGAGCAAACAGGAUUAGAUACCCUGGUAGUCCACGCUGUAAACGAUGUCGAUUUGGAGGUUGUGCCCUUGAGGCGUGGCUUCCGGAGCUAACGCGUUAAAUCGACCGCCUGGGGAGUACGGCCGCAAGGUUAAAACUCAAAUGAAUUGACGGGGGGCCCGCACAAGCGGUGGAGCAUGUGGUUUAAUUCGAUGCAACGCGAAGAACCUUACCUACUCUUGACAUCCAGAGAAUUCGCUAGAGAUAGCUUAGUGCCUUCGGGAACUCUGAGACAGGUGCUGCAUGGCUGUCGUCAGCUCGUGUUGUGAAAUGUUGGGUUAAGUCCCGCAACGAGCGCAACCCUUAUCCUUUGUUGCCAGCGAUUCGGUCGGGAACUCAAAGGAGACUGCCGGUGAUAAACCGGAGGAAGGUGGGGAUGACGUCAAGUCAUCAUGGCCCUUACGAGUAGGGCUACACACGUGCUACAAUGGCGUAUACAAAGAGAAGCGAACUCGCGAGAGCAAGCGGACCUCAUAAAGUACGUCGUAGUCCGGAUUGGAGUCUGCAACUCGACUCCAUGAAGUCGGAAUCGCUAGUAAUCGUAGAUCAGAAUGCUACGGUGAAUACGUUCCCGGGCCUUGUACACACCGCCCGUCACACCAUGGGAGUGGGUUGCAAAAGAAGUAGGUAGCUUAACCUUCGGGAGGGCGCUUACCACUUUGUGAUUCAUGACUGGGGUGAAGUCGUAACAAGGUAACCGUAGGGGAACCUGCGGUUGGAUCACCU
This 1530-nucleotide ribosomal RNA is filed under the name Serratia plymuthica. Its description in RNAcentral is "bacterial SSU rRNA". It matches the Rfam family "Bacterial small subunit ribosomal RNA". The record is from RNAcentral. Lineage: Bacteria; Pseudomonadati; Pseudomonadota; Gammaproteobacteria; Enterobacterales; Yersiniaceae.